CGUUUGUUUUCAUGGAAAAAAAUAUGGAGACUAAGAGACACUUAAUGUCAACAAGAUUUUCUGAUUGACAAGAGAAAAGGUCAAACAGGAACUUCAAUUGUGAACAUUGCAGAGAACACACCCAUCAGAAGAUGACCCUCAGAAAUAGGACAAUUAAUGAAUAAAAUGGACAGAGGCAGAACUGAAGGAGAUGCAUGAAAUGAGGAAUAUUUCAAAGAUUGCCUGAGCAUAACCACUGCUACUGGAUAAACAUAUGGCAAUAUAAAAGAGCAGGGUCAAUGGAGGUAUCAUACAGUAUAGGCCAUGAGAGACCCUGAAGAAGAAAGUAUUGAACAGAAACAAAAAUAAAACCAUUUUGACAUUUAUUGAAAUAUAGGAUCAAAGUCUUACAUGUAAAAUUUGGGCAUUUAAUGACUUUUCUCUAGCUCUAAGACUUAUAACAGUGAUGAUUUGAUUUAAUAUCUUUAUCCCGAUUUGUCGAAAAGAUUUGGACAUAGUGCAUCAAUUAUUUUAAAGUUUUGAUACAAGGAAUUCAUUCAUUGUACUUGUAACUGAGUUUUCUGGUGCGACACUGUUUUAUCGGCUUCAAAACUAAGUUUGUGAUUUCCAAACCAGAUUAAUGAGAUCAUGUAAUAUCUUUUAACAUCGGUGACUAUUUAAUCCAUUCUUUUACAUCCCAGAAGUAUUUUUAUUAUUACAGGGAAAAUAUGUAUUGUACAUGUAUCUGUAAUAAACAGGAUUAUAGAAAUUUUCCAUAUAAUACAACACAAUCUUAGCAACUGAAGGCAAAUAUUUUAUCAAGGGUGUGAUCUAUUUAUCAAUAUGGUUUUCAGCAUCUUGCUCUACCUGUAAUGACUUGCUCCAAGUUCCAAUAUUUAGAUUUAAAUUUUGCAAACAUGGUUAUAAAAUUCUUUAAAAGCCAAAUAGUUUAGGCACAAAAUGCUUAUAUAUUUCCUAUCAUUUGUAAAGUGUACAGUGAAUGAGAUGUGGAAUGUUAGAAUUAAAGUAUUAAAUAUGUUUUGGACUUAUGUAUGCUUAUGCAGAUAAAUUUGAAUUCAACUAGGGAAGGUAAAUGUCAUACUUAUUGGGUUUGCAAUCUAAUGCAAGAGUAUAAAUAUCCAAGACAAAUUUGACAAUUUUAAUGAAGGGUAUAAGUAACCCAAGAAGAAUUGGACAGAUAAACAUCACCUGUUGGGUUUUAUUCUAAUGUUGGGAUGUAAUAUCCAAGAAGAGUUGAACCAAUGUCCAAUACCUAUUGGGUUUUCUUUCUUAUGAAAAAAAAUUUGAGUAACCCAAGAAGAAUGUCCAAUACCUUUUAGUUUAUAUACUAUUGAAGGGAUGAAGAUAUCCAAGAGGAAUUGGACAGGUGUCCAUUACAUGUUGGGUAGUAUUCUGAUGAGGGGAUUCUCAAGAAACCCAAGAAUUAGACAAGUGUCCAUUGCCUGUUGGGUGGGAUGUAGAUAUCCAAGAGGAGUUGGACGGAUGUCCAUUACCU
Long non-coding RNA from Saccostrea cuccullata (small rock oyster), 1495 nucleotides. RefSeq lists it as uncharacterized. NCBI's taxonomy places the organism in Eukaryota, Metazoa, Mollusca, Bivalvia, Ostreida, Ostreidae. The transcript is spliced from 3 exons. The record is from RefSeq and is a predicted model, not a curated record.